UGGUCCUUGCCUAGUCCGGGCAUCUUGACCCCACAACUUCUCCACACGGGGACCACACUCCUUCUUCCACUUUACCCACUGCCCAGGACAGGGGCUCUUGAUGUUCUUUUGGGUCUUGUGAUCAGCUCCAAAAAGUUCUCAAAGCCAUACAAUGAGAUCAGAGGUAGAAAGCACUCCUCCAAGGGAGGUGUGUCCUGAAAUGGAGAGAGGAAAUGAAGAUGCCCAGUGUCUCUUGCUAAGAUGUCCCAGAAGUCACAACUGAACUUUUAAAGAGAAUCUCUUUGACUCUGGAGAAGAACACUGACCUCUCCCUUGAAUAAGAAUAGCUGCCUCCUCGGAUAGAGGACACCUGGAUGCCGUUCUUCCCACCAUGGACUUCCUGCCACAGUGCCCUUGGAAAAAGCUUUGAGACUCCUGCCACCACCACCCCACCCCUUGGUGUAAAUACCACUUAAGCAAUGUGAUUUCUUUUAGUGCUCUCAGGAGUUGCUCUCAACUGCCCACUGCUCCGGAGCCGCUGCGUAGAGGCAGCAGGCAGGAAAAUGCAGAGUGGGAAGGUAAGGAGUAGUGAGGAGGAAGGGAAAGGCCAAGCCCCAUCCUUAUUUUAAGCAGGUGCUUGUGAAGACACUGCAGAGAAGACAGGAAAAAAUAAAAAAGGACUCAGAGGAGAUUCUCAGCAUCUUGUAUCUUCCCAGAGAGAGCAUAUUUGAUGGUAUCAUGCUUCCAUGUCACCAACCUCAUUUCCUCUGACUCUCCUUCUGUCAUUUCCUCUGACCCUCUGUUCUGGCCCAUUUGAUCUGCUUGUUGUGUGAGCUGCCCAACCCAUCUCCUACAGCCCUGCCAGUCCCUGAUACCAUGAUCCUGCAUUAUGGCUCAAAGGCCAGACAAGCUGCAGUUCCCACAUGCCAAGGAGGGAGGCAGAGCCUACUUAGAAGGAGAUCUGUUCAUCAACCAGUAAAGGAGUGUUAAGCCAUCACCUGAAUUCAGGAAGGCGUUGUCAAGGAAUGCAUAAAGAAAAUAGUUGCAACUGCUUGCAAGCAGCAACCCACACCCACUAUUUUUGUCUUCCAGGACGCCUGCCCUGAUCCACUCUUCCUAACAAGUAACUCCAUCUCGGCAUUCAUGUUCUGUCCUAUAUUCACUUGCUCUUGGUAAUCUAUUACCUCUUACAUGUUAAGCCCUCUGAAAGAGGCUAUUUUCCUGUUUCUUUGAAACCCAGCCCCAGCCCCAUAGCUGGGGCACGUGCAGCAGGAUUCUACAGAGUGCUUCAUCAAGAGAAGGUGCUGGAUUCCUGGGGGAGACUGUGCUUGGUAGGGCUCUUUUGUUUCUGAGCAGCACCUUCUGUGUGGCUAUAUUCCUGGUUGCUGUCCAGAGCUUUCCUAACAAAGACAGCUUCCAAGGCCAGACAAACAGCAGAAAAUGCAGGUUAAAGCUGUACCACAGUACAAUGUACACUGCAAGGAAGGAUGCUUGUGGUUCAGCACUGCAUCUCCAGAAAGACAGCAGGGCUACAGAAGCACUGGGAUGCCUAGUUGAGCUGAUGAAACAUACGAGAACAUUAAAAAAAUGAUUAGGGUUCCUCAAAGUGAGAAGACACAUGUUGAGAGAAUGUGAAUGUAUAAAAAUCAUUAAGGGUAUGUAGAGACCUUACACUCACUUUAACCAACUGACCAAGAAAUGGGUUUUUGUUAUCUUCUAAGCAGAAAAGCACUGUAUUGGGCACUGCAGUAAAUCUAAAAGGAGAAAGAAUUCACUUCUGUCUUCAAAGAGCCUAUGAUUUAGAUGAGAAGACAUGACAAAGCCACAUCCUGUCAGUCAAUGACAAAAUGCCAUGUAAAACACAUGACUGCUGAGUGGAACAGGCAGCAGGUACUAGGGGGGUUCAAGGGAGAGAACCAGCUCUGAGCACUGAAGAGUCGGUAAACUCUUUCGGGUAGGAUCGGACCUUAAAGGAUGGGACUGCACAGGUGGGGAGAAAGGCAGACAUGUUCCAGCAUAGGGAAUGUCUAGGGUCACACUUUAGAAAUAGUGCAUAAGUGGUAGGGUAGGAGAAGGAACGAGGGUAGAAUUUUGGGACAGAAAGCCAUGCUGAGCUCAGUGGAGGUGCAAGUAGACAUUAGAGAAACACAGGGGAUGACGGGGAGAGCGAAGCCAGGAGAAGGUGCAAGCAGCUCAGAGGAAAAGCUGGAGAGAGCUGACUUGAAGGAUGGGCAAGGGGCACAGUCAGAACCCACCCACCUGCUGAGACAGAUCUGGGAUAGAUGAAUCAGGGGCUGGAUUCAAGGAAGGAGGGGAGGGAAGGAGGGACGGAACGAGAGGAACCUGAACAACAUGUAUAAAAAUCCUGUGAUGGCUGGGAUAAUGACAUGGGAAGAAAUGAUGAUGUAUGUGGAAGCUUGUGAAUGGACCAUGCUGAACUAGAGUCAGAAUGUUUGGAAGUGAUCAAAGGGGUCAGAAGGAGGAGAAAAAGGUUGAAGGCCCAGCCUUUACCAGAUAUGGUCAGUUGCAUGAAUUUUCGAUCCCUCCCUGCAUAAAAGAGAAGCAAAAUGCUUUGUGCCUGGUCCUGCCUUCACCUACCUGCCUCUAGUCCAACAUUUUCCUCUUGAUUUCGGGGUGAUAUCCAUUGGCAGAACUGCACAGAGGUACCCAGUGAGAGCUCUGCAGCCAGACUACCUGAGUUCAGAUUUGGCCUCUGCCAUUCAGGGACCUGGAGGUAGUUAUUUUAAGACUUUGUGCUUCAGUUUCUUCAAGCUGUAACAUGGGAGUAAUAAAGCUGAACAUCUCCCUCACAAGGUUUAAAUGAGUUAAUAUACAGCAAGCUCUUAGAACAACAUCUAGUACACAAUAAGAACUCAAUAACUGUUGGCUCUUUUUAUUGUGCUAAGCACAUGUAGUGAGAAUAGAAACGUAUGUUGAGUGUACCUAGGUCACAGAGUGACUGAGCAUUGUUGUUCUGUAAGGGAACACUGCAGGCCUUUGGCUGAUGUAUAGCUCAGCUUGUUUGCCUAGCCUUAGCAGGGGGUCAGGCCUGUAUGAUUUCUGGAACUACAUGAGAGCUUUCCUCUGAGAGAGGGCAGGGUGUUGUGAACUAGAGGUUGUGAAUCCUGGCCUGAUCGCCAGGCUAAGGGACUAGCCCUUUGGCAGAUGCUGCCUGUCCAGCUCCGGCCUGAGCACUGGCCACUUUCAGUAGCUGAAGGGAAAUGUGGAUUUGCGUCUCUAGUCUCAUUUCCACCACCUCCUACUUGCCUUAUACUACAGGGACUCUUUGAUCUGGGCCGAUUGAUCUCUGUGUUCCCUCAACAGACACUGAAGUUUCACGUCUCUGUGCCUUUGGACACACUGUGUGUGGUAGAGAUCUAUCUCCCUGGCUGCAUUCUCUCCUUUUUAUGUUUCUUUUAUUCCAUGUACCAGUAUGGUCAGCUGAAAGACUACGAUCCCCAGUCUCGUUUCUCACUGGCCACACUAGCGAGAUUUGGCAGAAAUUUCUUGGUGGGACUUUUAGGAAAGCAUUUGCUAUCUUUGCGCUUUCUUCCUGUGUUUUGGCUUCCUGACUGGAAGGACGAGGUGAAUGGCUGGAGAUCCAUAGACACUUUGGACCCUGAGAAUGGAAGCCGUGUGCUAAGAAAUGCUGAGCAGGAGAAUGAAGGGGCCUGGAUCCCUGCUGAUACCAAGUGCCACUGUAUUAGUUCUGAACUGCCCACCUCUGGGCUUCCUUUAUGAGAAAGAAGUAAACUUUAAUCUUGAUAAGCGAA
This is a non-coding RNA of Macaca mulatta (Rhesus monkey), 3752 nucleotides long. Lineage: Eukaryota; Metazoa; Chordata; Mammalia; Primates; Cercopithecidae. The record is from RefSeq and is a predicted model, not a curated record.